CUUCAUUGAAAACCAGCCAAAUUUUCAUGUUCUAAGUGAAGAUCAUUUGAAGUACUAUCCAAACUUAGAAAAACUAACCAUCCAAAGUAGUGGUCUGCAUACAAUCACUCCUAAUGCAUUUCAGUUUACCAAAAGAUUAAGAGAAAUCCAUAUUCGCCAGAACAACUUAACUAUAUUACCAUGGAAACUUUUUAAAGGCCUCAAACUUGUUGAAUUGUCAAUCGAUGGAAAUCCUAUUGUCUGUAAUUGUAGCGCAAAAUGGCUGCAGAAGACAGCUCUGUCAGACAAGAAGAUCCUGGGGCAUUUAUGGGAUCAAGUGACAUGCAUUGAUCCCGGAAAUGGAGCAGUCCGCACUCUAAUGAAUGUUACUU
Parasteatoda tepidariorum (common house spider) is the source of this 371-nucleotide non-coding RNA. NCBI's taxonomy places the organism in Eukaryota, Metazoa, Arthropoda, Arachnida, Araneae, Theridiidae. The record is from RefSeq and is a predicted model, not a curated record.